GGGCAUUUGGUCUUGUGGUAUGAUUCUCGUUUUGGGUGCGAGAGGUCCCGAUUUCGAUUCUCGGAAUGCCUA
Molecule: transfer RNA, 72 nt
Filed under: Salvia splendens (bonfire salvia)
Lineage: Eukaryota; Viridiplantae; Streptophyta; Magnoliopsida; Lamiales; Lamiaceae
Description: tRNA-Pro
Rfam family: tRNA
About the family: Transfer RNA (tRNA) molecules are approximately 80 nucleotides in length. Their secondary structure includes four short double-helical elements and three loops (D, anti-codon, and T loops).
Source: RNAcentral